UGCAGUCGAACGUGAAAGCACUUCGGUGUGAGUAGAGUGGCGGACGGGUGAGUAACGCGUGGGAAUCUGCCCAGUAGUGGGGGACAACUACCGGAAACGGUAGCUAAUACCGCAUACGCCCUAUGGGGGAAAGGCUUCGGCCGCUAUUGGAUGAGCCCGCGUCAGAUUAGCUAGUUGGUAGGGUAAAGGCCUACCAAGGCAACGAUCUGUAGCUGGUCUGAGAGGACGAACAGCCACACUGGGACUGAGACACGGCCCAGACUCCUACGGGAGGCAGCAGUGGGGAAUAUUGGACAAUGGGCGAAAGCCUGAUCCAGCAAUGCCGCGUGUGUGAAGAAGGCCUGCGGGUUGUAAAGCACUUUCAGUUGGGAAGAUGAUGACGUUACCAACAGAAGAAGCACCGGCUAAAUCCGUGCCAGCAGCCGCGGUAAUACGGAUGGUGCGAGCGUUAAUCGGAAUUACUGGGCGUAAAGCGCGCGUAGGCGGCUAAGUCAGUCAGAAGUGAAAGCCCCGGGCUCAACCUGGGAAUUGCUUUUGAUACUGCUUGGCUAGAGUUUGGUAGAGGAUAGUGGAAUUCCAGGUGUAGCGGUGAAAUGCGUAGAUAUCUGGAGGAACAUCAGUGGCGAAGGCGACUGUCUGGACCAAAACUGACGCUGAGGUGCGAAAGCGUGGGUAGCAAACAGGAUUAGAUACCCUGGUAGUCCACGCCGUAAACGAUGUCAACUAGCCGUCGGGUCUAUUUACAGACUUGGUGGCGCAGCU
Molecule: ribosomal RNA, 762 nt
Filed under: uncultured Gammaproteobacteria bacterium
Lineage: Bacteria; Pseudomonadati; Pseudomonadota; Gammaproteobacteria
Description: bacterial SSU rRNA
Rfam family: Bacterial small subunit ribosomal RNA
Source: RNAcentral